Molecule: ribosomal RNA, 217 nt
Filed under: Epinephelus itajara (Atlantic goliath grouper)
Lineage: Eukaryota; Metazoa; Chordata; Actinopteri; Perciformes; Serranidae
Description: partial 16S ribosomal RNA
Source: RNAcentral
CAGACACUAAAGCAGAUCAGCUAUUAAUACCCUGUAACAUAAGGCACGAAUAAGAUGAUUCCUGCCCUAAUGUCUUCGGUUGGGGCGACCGCGGAGAAAUAUAUAACCCCCGCAAGGACUGAAUGUAUUACAUUCACAACCAAGAGUGACAACUCUAAUUAACAGAACUUCUGACCAAUAAGAUCCGGCAAUGCCGAUUAAUGAACCAAGUUACCCC